This 443-nucleotide ribosomal RNA is filed under the name uncultured bacterium. RNAcentral describes it as "partial 16S ribosomal RNA". It matches the Rfam family "Bacterial small subunit ribosomal RNA", at positions 339 to 795 of the family's 1533-position model. The record is from RNAcentral.
CUACGGGCUGCUGCAGUGGGGAAUAUUGGGCAAUGGGCGCAAGCCUGACCCAGCAACGCCGCGUGAGGGAAGAAGGUUUUCGGAUUGUAAACCUCUGUCCUUGGGGACGAAGAAGUGACGGUACCCAAGGAGGAAGCUCCGGCUAACUGACGUGCCAGCAGCGCGCGGUAAUACGUAGGGAGCAAGCGUUGUCCGGAAUUACUGGGCGUAAAGGGUGCGUAGGCGGCAUAUUAAGUCAGGUGUGAAGUACUCGGGCUCAACCCGGGGGCUGCAUUUGAAACUGCUAUGCUUGAGUGUGAGAGAGGAAAGUGGAAUUCCUAGUGUAGCGGUGGAAUGCGUAGAUAUUAGGAGGAACACCAGUGGCGAAGGCGACUUUCUGGCUCAUAACUGACGCUGAGGCACGAAAGCGUGGGGAGCAAACAGGAUUAGAUACCCGAGUAGUC